GACCACCGAGAACUGCCGCUGUCCUGUCUGACUCCUCCUGUUUUGGUACUAGACCCCAGAUGAGGAUCUCAGGAAGAUCCACAAAGCUGCGUCCAGGGGAACGAACGUGUGGAAGCUGCAGCGGAGCCUCCUGCUCAAGAGUAAAGGACCGGUCUGAAACCUACAAGAACAGGACACAUAUUGCUUGUCUCUGAACUUCUCAGCUGCCUGCAGAUCUUCCUGUUUUUCAGCUGCAGUUAGGGUUUGUCUGAGGAGAAGCAUAACAUCCCUCCAGGCCAAAUGCUCCACAAAUAAAUGUGUUGAAUGAAUGAACAAAUGAAUAAGCGAAGUGAAUGGAACAUCAAACUGCAUAAAAAUAUAUUUAUUCAUAAAUGAGAGGUGAUGAUUGCCAACAUAUCAUAAUCAGACUCUGACCUUGGUUACUUAUGAGUUUGACAACGAAGAGGAAAGAGGAUCAGGGUCGGCUUUGUUGCCCACUUGGAGUGUAGUGGCACAACCUUGGCUCACUGCAACCUUCUCCUGAAGUACAUAUUAGCUCACCUGGGCUCAAGUGAUCCUCCCACCUCAGUCUUUUGAGUAUCUGGGAUUAUUGGCAUGUGCCACCAAGCCUUGCUAAUUUUUGUAUUUUUUGUAGACACAGGAUUUUGCCACGUUGGCCAGAUUUGUCUUGAACUCCUAAGCUCCAGUGAUCCACCCACCUUGGCCUCCCAAAGUGCUAGGAUUACACGUGUCACCAUCGUGGCCAACCAGCAAGCUCUCUUUUAAUGAUUCAGAGUCUCAGGCCAUAGCAGUAUAAGUAUCAAAACAUCUAUUCCCAACUUGGAGUUGAGAUUUCUAAUACGAAUUCUAUUUUCUCCAUAAUCAUAAAAUAGCAUCAGGAAAAGUCUCUUGACAUCUUAAAAUACAUAUCACUGGAAAGUAGAUCUUUUUGUCCUUCAGAUAAACAUACUGUAAAAUUUGAAAUGAAAAUUAUUCUUUGUACCACCAUUCUGAUUUUACCCAGGGUUAACACAAAAGUUAUAGCAGUACAUGAAGCUCUGAGGCUUCAAUGGGUGUAGAUAUAGACAUCCAAACCUAUAAUUUUACAUUAAUCAGAAUACUAUUCAUAUAAAUCACAAAUGGCAAAACCAUUUCUGAAGGUAUUUGGUUUUAUAGAUUAUAAAAUUAAACUUCCUUAUAAUUGUGUCCAAACUGAAAUAUGCUUCCUGUACAAAAAAGCUUUCUUCUAACAGUAAAGGCCUCCUCCCAACCCACCCGACACAUACACACACACACACACACACACACACACACACACACACACACGAAGAGAGAGAGAGAAUUUAGAGCACUGAUCUUUUCUCUCUUAGACUAAUUAUUUUAACAUUAUUUUCAGCCACUUUAUUAAUUGUGGGGUUAAGGGUAGGAUAGAUCUAAUGCCCAUUUCACAUGUGUUGCAACAUCAGAGAUUAUGGUUUUCAUUAAAAACAUCAGAGCUAAAUUCCUUUUCAAAAAAGACAUUGUUACUGUUAGUACCUUGGGGAAUGUUGUAGUCUUAUGAAUGCUGAUACGUUUAUUUGAGCCAAUUGAAUAUUAUCUCUAAUAUAAACUAUAAUUUACUGUGUGAUUCCUCUUCCUGUUUUACCUAUAUAUACUCAAAGUGAAUGAUUGUGUUUAGUGAACAUUUCUUUAGGUAAUAAAAAUUAAUUUCAUUUAAGAAAGAAGUACAAAAUAGUUAUUAGAGCAAACUUUGGUAUUUGUAAUUUUGAAGUUACAUACUUUUGAAAUAAACUUGGGCUUUCAUGCCAUGUUGGGUUUGAGGAAGAU
Homo sapiens (human) is the source of this 1806-nucleotide long non-coding RNA. Ensembl annotates it as long intergenic non-protein coding RNA 1606. The record is from Ensembl. Lineage: Eukaryota; Metazoa; Chordata; Mammalia; Primates; Hominidae.